AACGCACAUUGCGCCCGCUGGUAUUCCGGCGGGCAUGCCUGUUCGAGCGUCAUUAUGACCAAUCAAGCUCUGCUUGGCCUUGGGGCCCGCUGUACCGGCGGCCCUUAAAAUCAGUGGCAGUGCCGUCUGGCUCUAAGCGUAGUGAUUUCUCUCGCUUGGAAGUCUGGCGGUGGCUUGCCAACAACCCCCAACUUUUUACUAGGUUGACCUCGGAUCAGGUAGGGAUACCCGCUGAACUUAA
RNAcentral lists this unclassified non-coding RNA (241 nucleotides) under uncultured fungus. RNAcentral's name for it is "partial contains 5.8S ribosomal RNA, internal transcribed spacer 2, and large subunit ribosomal RNA". The stretch from base 1 to 52 matches the Rfam family "5.8S ribosomal RNA", at positions 103 to 154 of the family's 154-position model. The record is from RNAcentral. Lineage: Eukaryota; Fungi.